UUAAGGUAGAGACCGAUAGUAACCACGUGAUCAGUAAAAAUCGUGUAUUUUCACGUGAAAUUAUUUUUCGGAAUUCCGUACAUCGCCAUAGAGUAGUCGAAAAACAAAAAGGGGUUCCGAAAGUACAAGUUGUUGCUGUGACUGAAUCGAUGAUUGAGAGGGUCGUCUCGACGAAAGAUAUAGAAAUUUGGCCAUAGUUUAGAUUAGGAAUACGUCAAUGUAAUAAUAGUGGACUAAAUGUUUCGUCCGUGCAGAAUGGCACUUUUUACCUCACGAAAUUCACCACCAUGCAUAGCUGCACUACGUAAACAAAGUUGUUGAUGUAGCGUGAUCGUGAUGUCCGAGUGCUGCGAGUUUCAAUACUGUUUAUGUAGUCAUUGAGAGUUUAAACAAAGUUUCUUCUGAGAAGAGGAAUUCGAUGGAUGCAUUCAACGUGGACAACGAAAUCAUAAUUUCGUUUGCAUCAUCCUAAGGACCAGUGCAAGUUGAAAUGGGCUUCCAGCCAACAACUUCAACAGCAAUUUGCCAUGAAAAUCAGCAAGAAAGGUACUUCAUUUACAUUGAUGAUGUCAUAUCCCCUGGACCCCACAACUUUACAGGUUACAGAGAAAAUUCAAGAACUUCUGCAAAAUGUGGGACUUGGAUAGAAUCAAUAAUGUAUUUGUGAGCCCAGAGCAAUGGAUAUAUUGUGCAACAUACUAAAGUGUGAAUUUAUGGAAAACAAGUACAUGUACUCAUGUAUUACAUGUCUUUUUUAAAGACAAUAAUAUUGUAUAAAUAUAGAGGAAGUGUCAUUGUUGAUUAUUCUAAGUUUUUGAUAUAUCAAAAUCAGUAAACAUUUCUAAAUGAAAAUAAAAUACCAAUUUUAUAACUUUAA
Molecule: long non-coding RNA, 877 nt
Organism: Ostrea edulis (European flat oyster)
Lineage: Eukaryota; Metazoa; Mollusca; Bivalvia; Ostreida; Ostreidae
Exons: 3
Source: RefSeq, a predicted model, not a curated record